CCUGGAGGAAGGCGUUAGUACGGGUUGUGCUGUAUUUUUGUGUCUGUGUGUGUCCUUCGAAAGUGAUUACUGGAGACUACACCGUGAAUCUGUUCCCUGUUUUGUGUUACUUGCAGUCCGCCACGUGGCCGUAUGGGUGAUGAUAAAGUUCAAAACGUCAAAGAUCAACACGAGCAAAGGAGUCAGGAGAAUCACAACGAGCAAACACAGGUGGGUUCAAAGACGUCGAUUAGUCCGUGGAGGCUUGAGACGGAAGGCAGGCGGCAAGCGCGGCGGGAGACCUGCUGAGGGAAAAGAGCGGCCGGCGCGCGAGUCAGAGAGGAAGCUGAGAGAACGUCAACCUCCCAUCCCGCCCUCAGUAAGAAGAGAACUGUUACAUCGUGAUUCAGAAGCCGAAGUUCGAAGCUUAUAGACGAGAAGGAAGUACCACGCCGCGCUAGUUCAUAAAUGGCAGGGACGGAGGAAGGACGGCGUGAGCAUUGUUCUUCUCUUCUGUGAUCCUACUGCAUCAUUUAUGUGACGUGGCUGAGGUGACGCUUAAGAUGUAGAAAUUAUUGGCUGAGGAAGUUGACGAUGUAUAGGUGAUGAAACGGGAGAGGACAUCUAAGAAAAUUGAUUUAACAUCGAUGCCUUCUGUUUCAAGCGCAUGUUUCACCCGGCCGUGUGAAUCUGCAGCGACAUCUUCGAUAGAUACUGCAAUCCCGCCGAAGAGCUGCACAAUCCACGCCAUCUUCAUCUGCUGCUGUAACGAAGGGAUGCUGUAAAAUGAAAAGGAAAUUAAUGAAACAAUUAUCUUCCUCA
Long non-coding RNA from Portunus trituberculatus (swimming crab), 801 nucleotides. RefSeq lists it as uncharacterized. The transcript is spliced from 5 exons. The record is from RefSeq and is a predicted model, not a curated record. Lineage: Eukaryota; Metazoa; Arthropoda; Malacostraca; Decapoda; Portunidae.